This is a long non-coding RNA of Perognathus longimembris pacificus (Pacific pocket mouse), 182 nucleotides long. RefSeq lists it as uncharacterized. The transcript has 3 exons. Lineage: Eukaryota; Metazoa; Chordata; Mammalia; Rodentia; Heteromyidae. The record is from RefSeq and is a predicted model, not a curated record.
GCCUCAGGCUGCUUCCUGCACACAGGGAUGCAGAGGUGCAGUCGAGAUCCCAUCCUGGAGCGCCCCCUUCUGUUGCAGCCUGGGAGCACAGGAGACGCUUGGGGACAGGACCUGGUGUCUGCAGCCCACACCACAGCUGCUGGUCCCCUCCAGGCCAGCCCAGGGCUAUGACUCUUGUCUCC